UCCGAUAUGGUGUAGUGGUUAACAUUAUCGCCUCUCACAAAGUCAUAGAGGUUCGCGAUAGCCCGGGGUUCGAUUCCCCGUGUCGGAA
This 88-nucleotide transfer RNA is filed under the name Lentinula aff. boryana. RNAcentral's name for it is "tRNA-Glu". It matches the Rfam family "tRNA". Rfam says of the family: Transfer RNA (tRNA) molecules are approximately 80 nucleotides in length. Their secondary structure includes four short double-helical elements and three loops (D, anti-codon, and T loops). The record is from RNAcentral. Lineage: Eukaryota; Fungi; Basidiomycota; Agaricomycetes; Agaricales; Omphalotaceae.